AGCGAACGCUGGCGGCAGGCUUAACACAUGCAAGUCGAACGCCUGUAGCAAUACGGGAGUGGCAGACGGGUGAGUAACGCGUGGGAACGUGCCCUUUGGUUCGGGAUAACCCAGGGAAACUUGGGCUAAUACCGGAUACGUCCCUAACGGGAGAAAGAUUUAUUGCCGAAGGAUCGGCCCGCGUCCGAUUAGCUAGUUGGCGGGGUAAAGGCUCACCAAGGCGACGAUCGGUAGCUGGUCUGAGAGGAUGAUCAGCCACACUGGGACUGAGACACGGCCCAGACUCCUACGGGAGGCAGCAGUGGGGAAUAUUGGACAAUGGGCGCAAGCCUGAUCCAGCCAUGCCGCGUGGGUGAUGAAGGCCCUAGGGUUGUAAAGCCCUUUCGGCGGGGAAGAUAAUGACGGUACCCGCAGAAGAAGCCCCGGCUAACUUCGUGCCAGCAGCCGCAGUAA
This 453-nucleotide ribosomal RNA is filed under the name uncultured bacterium. Its description in RNAcentral is "partial 16S ribosomal RNA". It matches the Rfam family "Bacterial small subunit ribosomal RNA", at positions 29 to 523 of the family's 1533-position model. The record is from RNAcentral.